This 1112-nucleotide long non-coding RNA is filed under the name Fragaria vesca (wild strawberry). RNAcentral describes it as "long non-coding RNA (FVES_LNC001988)". The record is from RNAcentral. Lineage: Eukaryota; Viridiplantae; Streptophyta; Magnoliopsida; Rosales; Rosaceae.
UAUAUAUAGGAGUAGCUGUCCCGGUCAAUAUAUAUUGGAUUCUGGAUGAACAAGAAGAUAUACUCUAGCAUAUAGUCCCCGAUUGGGUUUGUAAUUUUGUAGGACUACUGCACCCAAUUGUCCAAGGGGUGUGUCCCUAUGGUGGGACAAUGACAUUGUGCAUAUAGUCAUGAUGAUACCCUCCACCACAAGGCCAGUUUUUACCCGAUCUUUUAUAUAUUUAUGUAUAGGUCUUUGUCAAUGAUACCAGAGGAGAAAUUCUGUGAUACUUGAAAUGAUCUCCAGCCGAAAGUUGAGUCCUUUGUAUAUGGUUUCUGUAUGAGAUAUCAGAGGAGGAGGAGGAGGAGCUCAUGAAAAUGGCAGCAGGGUCUUUAGAAAGCGCAACAUGCACCUGCCAAAGUUUAAGUACUUUGCGUGCCCUAAUCAACUGGCUUCAAUCUUAAGCAAAGCUUGUCUCUUUUGGGGCAUGGGAAAGGCACAGUUAUUGACGUUCUAUUGUUUACUUCAUGGGAAUCGCAUAAAGAAAGAUUAAGGGGAAAUCAAUAUUCAUUGCAGCUUAAAACCAUUUUUUGUCUUAGAUACAGACACUUGACUCGUUAAUGUCCACAGAGGCCCAAUAAGGCUCACAAAUGAGUGUACUUAAUUUUAUCAGAACAGCCCAUUAAUCUAAACAAUUGUAUCAUAUAGCAUUCGGAAAGAGUAUUCACUUGGUUACUGACCGAUUAGAAAUUUACGCUUAAUUACUUUUAGAUUUACAUCUAAUGGUCAAGAACAAAACAAUCACUAUGCUUAAAAGUUAGUAUCUCCACCAUUAGAUCUACAUUUAAUGGUGGUUGAGCAUAAAUUUCUUGAUGACUAGCUAGGCCGGUGAACAUGGCUGAAGGUUGAUUCACUUGGUUAUCUAUUCAUCUAGCGAUGAAAAAUGAAUGAUCACUUUGGUCGAAACACUUAAUAAACGUAUAAUCAUCACAACAUUUAAUAUUAAAUCUAAAUGUGGAUGAUCAUUGUGAUUACAAAUUGAUCAGUGGCCAUGUAAUUAAACGUUAUUGUUUCUAAUUGUAAUUAUAUGUCUUGUUUGGUUGAUGGAAAAGAAAUUGGUUCCUUGGUCUUUC